Molecule: ribosomal RNA, 484 nt
Filed under: uncultured bacterium
Lineage: Bacteria
Description: partial 16S ribosomal RNA
Rfam family: Bacterial small subunit ribosomal RNA
Source: RNAcentral
AUUGAACGCUGGCGGCAGGCCUAACACAUGCAAGUCGAGCGGAUGAAGGGAGCUUGCUCCUGGAUUCAGCGGCGGACGGGUGAGUAAUGCCUAGGAAUCUGCCUGGUAGUGGGGGAUAACGUCCGGAAACGGGCGCUAAUACCGCAUACAUCCUGAGGGAGAAAGUGGGGGAUCUUCGGACCUCACGCUAUCAGAUGAGCCUAGGUCGGAUUAGCUAGUUGGUGGGGUAAAGGCCUACCAAGGCGACGAUCCGUAACUGGUCUGAGAGGAUGAUCAGUCACACUGGAACUGAGACACGGUCCAGACUCCUACGGGAGGCAGCAGUGGGGAAUAUUGGACAAUGGGCGAAAGCCUGAUCCAGCCAUGCCGCGUGUGUGAAGAAGGUCUUCGGAUUGUAAAGCACUUUAAGUUGGGAGGAAGGGCAGUAAGUCAAUACCUUGCUGUUUUGACGUUACCAACAGAAUAAGCACCGGCUAACUUCGUG